AUGAGUUCGGGGGCCUAGCCCCCAGCGGCGAGUGUCGUUUGAGUCCCCCAGGACUCAACGGCGGUCGUCGUGUUUCUCAACCCCAUGUUUACCAUACCUUUGUUGCUUUGGCGGGCCUUGAGUAGGCUAUACGGCUCAUGUCGGCCUCAAGCUUUAUUGCUUGGGGGCGGCUCGCGCCCGCCAGAGGUUUAAUCAAAUCCUAUUUAUAAGUGAUGUCUGAGUAAUUAUUAAAUAAUCAAAACUUUCAACAACGGAUCUCUUGGUUCUGGCAUCGAUGAAGAACGCAGCGAAAUGCGAUAAGUAAUGUGAAUUGCAGAAUUCAGUGAAUCAUCGAAUCUUUGAACGCACAUUGCGCCCCUCGGUAUUCCGGGGGGCAUGCCUGUUCGAGCGUCAUUACACCCCUCAAGCGUAGCUUGGUAUUGGACAACCGCGGGCCCUUUUACAAGGGCUUGCAGGUCCGAAAAAUAGUGGCGGUCCCCGAGGAUUUCGCGCGUAGUAAAUAUUAUCCCGCGUUGGAAAGAAUCGGUGGGCUUGCCAAAACCCCCCAUAAUCUCUAUGAAUUGACCUCGGAUCAGGUAGGGAUACCCGCUGAACUUAAGCAUAUCAAUAA
RNAcentral lists this ribosomal RNA (610 nucleotides) under Cladonia pocillum. RNAcentral's name for it is "eukaryotic LSU rRNA". The stretch from base 240 to 393 matches the Rfam family "5.8S ribosomal RNA". The record is from RNAcentral. Lineage: Eukaryota; Fungi; Ascomycota; Lecanoromycetes; Lecanorales; Cladoniaceae.